GGAAUUAAAGGAAAAUGUCUUAGCACUUUGAUAGGAACUUUGUGAGCCUUCUUAGAUUCUUCAAGGACAUGAUCCACUUCAGGAAAAAUUAACCCACCUUGAGGCUCCACAAUUAUGACAUAAGUCAUCAUUUACAUGCUCUUUCCAAAACAACAUGCAAUUGUUGGGGCAUGCAUCAAUCUUUUUGUACUCUAAGUGUG
RNAcentral lists this long non-coding RNA (200 nucleotides) under Lotus japonicus. Its description in RNAcentral is "long non-coding RNA (LJAP_LNC001090)". The record is from RNAcentral. Lineage: Eukaryota; Viridiplantae; Streptophyta; Magnoliopsida; Fabales; Fabaceae.